This 449-nucleotide ribosomal RNA is filed under the name uncultured bacterium. RNAcentral's name for it is "bacterial SSU rRNA". It matches the Rfam family "Bacterial small subunit ribosomal RNA", at positions 29 to 524 of the family's 1533-position model. The record is from RNAcentral.
AACGAACGCUGGCGGCAGGCCUAACACAUGCAAGUCGAGCGCGCCCUUCGGGGUGAGCGGCGGACGGGUUAGUAACGCGUGGGAACGUACCCUUUUCUGCGGAAUAGCCUCUGGAAACGGAGAGUAAUACCUUAUACGCCCUUCGGGGAAAGAUUCAUCGGUAUCGGAUUAGCCCGCGUUAGAUUAGAUAGUUGGUGGGGUAACGGCCUACCAAGUCUACGAUCUAUAGCUGGUUUUAGAGGAUGAUCAGCAACACUGGGACUGAGACACGGCCCAGACUCCUACGGGAGGCAGCAGUGGGGAAUCUUGGACAAUGGGCGCAAGCCUGAUCCAGCCAUGCCGCGUGAGUGAUGAAGGCCUUAGGGUCGUAAAGCUCUUUCGCCAGGGAUGAUAAUGACAGUACCUGGUAAAGAAACCCCGGCUAACUCCGUGCCAGCAGCCGCGGUAAU